AGCAGUAGCCGCGGGAAAACAGAGGGUGCGAGCGUUAAUCGGAUUUACUGGGCGUAAAGCGUGCGUAGGCGGCUUCUUAAGUCGGAUGUGAAAUCCCUGAGCUUAACUUAGGAAUUGCAUUCGAUACUGGGAAGCUAGAGUAUGGGAGAGGAUGGUAGAAUUCCAGGUGUAGCGGUGAAAUGCGUAGAGAUCUGGAGGAAUACCGAUGGCGAAGGCAGCCAUCUGGCCUAAUACUGACGCUGAGGUACGAAAGCAUGGGGAGCAAACAGGAUUAGAUACCCCUGUAGUCCCUGUCUCUUAUAC
RNAcentral lists this ribosomal RNA (303 nucleotides) under uncultured bacterium. RNAcentral describes it as "partial 16S ribosomal RNA". It matches the Rfam family "Bacterial small subunit ribosomal RNA", at positions 507 to 807 of the family's 1533-position model. The record is from RNAcentral.